This 199-nucleotide long non-coding RNA is filed under the name Oryza brachyantha (malo sina). RNAcentral describes it as "long non-coding RNA (OBRA_LNC000838)". Lineage: Eukaryota; Viridiplantae; Streptophyta; Magnoliopsida; Poales; Poaceae. The record is from RNAcentral.
ACAUAUAGUAGGGGGUUACUGAAUAGAAAGGAGAUUAUAUCUAUAUGGUAUCAACUGGAGUUUGGUGACUGUCGGAUUACAUGCCGCACAUACCGGAUCCAAGUUGUAACCGAAUUAGGAUAGAUCUUAGUCUUAUCAGAUUAGGACUCUAUCUAUAAGCCCUAUCCCCCACUAUAUAAGAGGGACAGGGGCACCCCUU